This 715-nucleotide ribosomal RNA is filed under the name Salmonella enterica subsp. enterica serovar Infantis. Its description in RNAcentral is "partial 23S ribosomal RNA". Lineage: Bacteria; Pseudomonadati; Pseudomonadota; Gammaproteobacteria; Enterobacterales; Enterobacteriaceae. The record is from RNAcentral.
GGGUUGUGAGGUUAAGCGACUAAGCGUACACGGUGGAUGCCCUGGCAGUCAGAGGCGAUGAAGGGCGUGCUAAUCUGCGAUAAGCGCCGGUAAGGUGAUAUGAACCGUUAUAACCGGCGAUACCCGAAUGGGGAAACCCAGUGUGAYUCGUCACACUAUCAUUAACUGAAUCCAUAGGUUAAUGAGGCGAACCGGGGGAACUGAAACAUCUAAGUACCCCGAGGAAAAGAAAUCAACCGAGAUUCCCCCAGUAGCGGCGAGCGAACGGGGAGGAGCCCAGAGCCUGAAUCAGCAUGUGUGUUAGUGGAAGCGUCUGGAAAGGCGCGCGAUACAGGGUGACAGCCCCGUACACAAAAGCGCAUGUGCUGUGAGCUCGAUGAGUAGGGCGGGACACGUGGUAUCCUGUCUGAAUAUGGGGGGACCAUCCUCCAAGGCUAAAUACUCCUGACUGACCGAUAGUGAACCAGUACCGUGAGGGAAAGGCGAAAAGAACCCCGGCGAGGGGAGUGAAAAAGAACCUGAAACCGUGUACGUACAAGCAGUGGGAGCGGCAACACUAACUGGAGGACCGAACCGACUAAUGUUGAAAAAUUAGCGGAUGACCUGUGGCUGGGGGUGAAAGGCCAAUCAAACCGGGAGAUAGCUGGUUCUCCCCGAAAGCUAUUUAGGUAGCGCCUCGUGAAUUCAUCUCCGGGGGUAGAGCACUGUUUCGGCU